RNAcentral lists this ribosomal RNA (258 nucleotides) under Staphylococcus capitis. RNAcentral's name for it is "partial 23S ribosomal RNA". It matches the Rfam family "Bacterial large subunit ribosomal RNA", at positions 1337 to 1588 of the family's 2925-position model. The record is from RNAcentral. Lineage: Bacteria; Bacillati; Bacillota; Bacilli; Caryophanales; Staphylococcaceae.
CCGAUUGACUAAGGUUUCCAGAGGAAGGCUCGUCCGCUCUGGGUUAGUCGGGUCCUAAGCUGAGGCCGACAGGCGUAGGCGAUGGAUAACAGGUUGAUAUUCCUGUACCACCUAGUAUCGUUUUAAUUGAUGGGGGGACGCAGUAGGAUAGGCGAAGCGUGCUGUUGGAGUGCACGUCCAAGCAGUAAGGCUGAGUGUUAGGCAAAUCCGGCACUCGUUAGGCUGAGCUGUGAUGGGGAGAGGAAAUUGUUUCCUCGA